This 399-nucleotide long non-coding RNA is filed under the name Drosophila guanche. The record is from RNAcentral. Lineage: Eukaryota; Metazoa; Arthropoda; Insecta; Diptera; Drosophilidae.
CCUGAACCAAAUGGAUUCUGAGCUUGUUGUGUAUUGCUACUAAAGUUUGGGUAAUAAUUCCCAUUAUUCUUCUGAGCGGACUGCUGCGAUUUAUGCUGAUCUUUAUUGGUAUUCUUAACUUCUAUCUUAACUUUGUCCGAUGAAUCCAAAGAGCGUGAGGUGGCUCAAGGGGGCCUAGCUGAGGCCACCGGACGGGUCGCAGGUUGCGGAUAUCGAACGGUCUACCUAGUUUAUAUAGGUCAGCUGUGAAUACGCGGAAAUAAACAGCCCCGUAGCAACACUGAUGAUGCGCUUGUGGUGCCGCCUCGUUUAAGAAGCUCACACACUUCCUCUCCCCACACAACACCUAUCCUCAUCCGCACCCACCCACCUCAAACCGGGCCGGACUAAGGUCUCAUU